UUUUCCCUGCCGUGCUCGUGUUUGGCCUUAUAUUUCUUGGACCCAUGCUAAUGGCAUGAGGUUGUGGAAAUUGCCCGCGGGCGUGAUCGUCUCCAGUCAGACGAACCCGAAGCGAGGCUGACCGCGACCACCUUGAACCUCCGGUUCAGGAUGCCGGCCUAGCGACACAGGCGGGGACCCU
This 181-nucleotide non-coding RNA is filed under the name Pigmentiphaga sp. NML080357. RNAcentral's name for it is "6S RNA". It matches the Rfam family "6S / SsrS RNA". Rfam says of the family: E. coli 6S RNA was the first non coding RNA to be sequenced, but its function was unknown until recently. It consists of 184 nucleotides that fold into an extended hairpin structure with a large single-stranded internal bulge. Lineage: Bacteria; Pseudomonadati; Pseudomonadota; Betaproteobacteria; Burkholderiales; Alcaligenaceae. The record is from RNAcentral.